UACAAACACGCACACAAGCGCACAUAGCUAUAUACCCAAAUAUCAAUCAAGUAAACGUCACAAUCCAUUAAGCUGGGCACUUGCCCCACGACACACAAUUUAUCAAUCCAUUGAUCAUGGCUCUCAAAAUCAGAAACCUUACCAACAAUAAAUCAAGAUUGUAUACACGAUCAUCUCACACGGUUCCUCAUAUCAACAUGACAUUUCCAAUAGUAGUAAAAGUUUGCGCUUUUAUGUUCAAAACAGAAAAGAUGUAAAAAGAAGCGGAGUGUUCAUCUAUUUUCGGGCAACGAACUGGGACUAGAAGCUCCUUUUUGACAAACUUUGAUCACAGGAGUUCCAAUUUAACCUUACUGGAAUUGAAAUAUGUUCAUUGGAAUCUGGUCUUUUCACUAUAUUCUUCGGAGAUUCUUGCUUACGUGGGAUUAGAGAAAUGCUCCUACCGAAUCCUCAAAUUUUUCUCCAAAAAUCCUCUUCCUAACUCUCACCGCUCACUGGAGGAUUAUUUUGGGGGAAAUCAGAGGGUUAAAAGGAAAAAACGAAUUGAAUUUUUUGAAUUUCAAAAAAUGGGAUCAGAUUCGUGUUUGGGCUGCUUGGAUUCAAUGAAUUUAAAUGUUUGGGGGAAAAUGAAUUCUUUCACCACCAAUAGAAAUUCAACGAGUAUGUACUCCAUCGGUACGAAUUUGCAAAUUUGCUGCCGAGUUUUCAGGGAUUUUGAAUGUUGGAUACCACCUGGGUGUUUUUAGGGAUUUCUAGAAACUGAACAACUCAACCCUUUGUACCAUAAACGAAAUUACUUACAAAGAUGGGGCCGUUGAUACUGAUUUAUAGUCAUUUUGAUAGUGGUUGAUGGAAGUUGGGUUCGUUUGGGGAGCUAUUGUUGCUGUUAACAUUGUCACUAUUACUGAUAUUAUUGACUUGUCCUUAUUGGGUUAAGGAGAAGGGAGAGAUAAGGGGUGUGGGCCGGAUCACACGAAUUAGGCCUAGUUCGGUGGAUAAAAAUUGAAAGAGAUGGGAU
This 1018-nucleotide long non-coding RNA is filed under the name Capsicum annuum. RNAcentral describes it as "long non-coding RNA (CANN_LNC001656)". Lineage: Eukaryota; Viridiplantae; Streptophyta; Magnoliopsida; Solanales; Solanaceae. The record is from RNAcentral.